This is a long non-coding RNA of Orcinus orca (killer whale), 776 nucleotides long. RefSeq lists it as uncharacterized. The transcript has 4 exons. NCBI's taxonomy places the organism in Eukaryota, Metazoa, Chordata, Mammalia, Artiodactyla, Delphinidae. The record is from RefSeq and is a predicted model, not a curated record.
UACUAUAGGUAAUAUGCUAUCAGACAGCACUGCAUGCUACAGAGAAAUCAGUCUUGGAAGGAAGAGUCAAUCGACGUGGCUAACUUUACUGCAAUUUUAAGAAUUGCCACAGCCACCCCAACCUUCAGCAACCACCACCCUGAUCAGUCAGCAGCAUCGACAUCAAGGCAAGACCCUCACCAGCAAAAUCAUUAUGACCCGCUGAAAGCUUAGGUGAUGGUUAGAAUUUUUUAGCAAUAAAGUGUUUUUAAAUUAAGGUAGGUACAUUGCUUUUUUUUUAGACAUAAUGCUAUUGGACACUUAAUGAACUACAGUAUAUUGUAAACAUAACUCUUAUAUGCACUAGGAAACCAAAAAAUCCAUGCCACUCACUUUAUUCUGAUAUUCACUUUAUUGCAGUGGUCUGGAAUCGAAUCUGUAAUAUCUCCAAGGAUGAGAAUAUGGCCUUCCUGGUGUUGAAUUGGUUCAAAAAUCCAGAAAACUGUGAUGUUGAAAGGUGGCUAUAUGUACCACAGGAAGCCUAGAGAGAUUGGAAAAGCUGUUAAGAGGAAAAAGAGGGGAAGAAAAAUAUGCUAAAUAGCACCAUGGGAAUGAAACCAGCAAAACCCAGACUGUGGGAAAAUCCCGAGAACAAAUGAUCCAGCUUCUUCAACAAAUACAAAAGCUACAAGAAAAAAUUUAGAAGAACAUCUACAGAUUAAGAGAUUAUCAACCAACAGCAGUGUAUGGAUGCUGAUUCAGACAAACUGUAAAGGAAAAAAUAAAACAAAAUGAGA